CCUACGGGUGGCAGCAGUAGGGAAUAUUGCUCAAUGGGGGAAACCCUGAAGCAGCAACGCCGCGUGGAGGAUGAAGGUUUUAGGAUUGUAAACUCCUUUUGUGAGAGAAGAUAAUGACGGUAUCUGACGAAUAAGCACCGGCUAACUCCGUGCCAGCAGCCGCGGUAAUACGGAGGGUGCAAGCGUUACUCGGAAUCACUGGGCGUAAGGAGGGCGCAGGCGGGGUUGUAAGUCAGAUGUGAAAGCCUGUAGCUUAACUACAGAACUGCAUUUGAAACUAUGAGUCUAGAGUGUGGGAGAGGUAGGUGGAAUUCUUGGUGUAGCGGUAAAAUGCGUAGAUAUCAAGAGGAAUACUCAUUGCGAAGGCGACCUACUGGAACAUUACUGACGCUCAUGCACGAAAGCGUGGGGAGCAAACAGGAUUAGAUACCCUUGUAGUC
This 440-nucleotide ribosomal RNA is filed under the name uncultured bacterium. RNAcentral describes it as "partial 16S ribosomal RNA". It matches the Rfam family "Bacterial small subunit ribosomal RNA", at positions 338 to 795 of the family's 1533-position model. The record is from RNAcentral.